UUUUAUUACAAAAUAUUUGUUUUACUUACAUAGCUGAAACGGAAGGAGAUUUGGUAAUAUAUAUAUACAUAACGAUAUACAGUAGAAACCCUCCAUGGUCUAUUUAUAGUAAAGAUAAAUAUUAUGAAUAGGUAGCUAGUAGACUAUGUUCAUACUAAGCCAAGCGGUCGCUCGGUAUUUUCGUUUACAUUUUACAAGAAUGCUUGUCACUUCAAGUCAGUCUUCUUUCCUUUUCUACUUUUUCUUGAAAAGUUUUUUUGUGACUUUUCACAGCUAUUUGGAUUUGUUUAACUUUCAUGACAUUACAUAAAAAGAUACUUAUUAGGACAAGGUGCUGUAGCGUAAGUCUAUAUCAUUAAAAUGAUUUCAUGUUUUUGUCAUAGAACGCCUUAGAUAAAGUUAAUAUUUAAACUGAAAAUCUACUUAAUGGGACAUAACUCUAACCAACUUCUAAUAUGAAAGAAAUAAGAAACUAUUUUAAUAAAUAUGUAUUAACGAA
This 499-nucleotide long non-coding RNA is filed under the name Mytilus galloprovincialis (Mediterranean mussel). The record is from RNAcentral. Lineage: Eukaryota; Metazoa; Mollusca; Bivalvia; Mytilida; Mytilidae.